This 3367-nucleotide long non-coding RNA is filed under the name Marmota monax (woodchuck). The record is from RNAcentral. Lineage: Eukaryota; Metazoa; Chordata; Mammalia; Rodentia; Sciuridae.
CUUAUCUGCAAAUAUUGACCAAUCACUGUAAAGUAGAGCAUGACUUGUGCCCUGUGCUGGUGUUAGAGAUGGAAUGUGAAAAGCAUCCAUUCCCUGCCCCCAGGAGCUCGCGGUUGAGUAGGGGAGGUAGACUCUAUCUAUGGAGAGGUGGUAAGAGGAAUCCAGCAGGCAUGGGGCAGCAUUUGAAUGAAGAACACACUCAUCUAUUUCACCGACCUUUAUUGAGCAUCUACUGUAUAUGAGCCACUGGCGAUCGAGAAAUUGAAAAAUCCUGUAUUUUUCCUACACAGCUGAUUCCCCAAGAGUUUUUCAAGAGCCGUCAUAGAGCAGGAGGAUGCUCGUUCUGUAUUUAUCAAAGGUAAAUUUAUCAACAAGUACAGAACACCAUGGUAGCUCAGCCGAAGAGUGACUUAAAUUGGGGGUUUGAGGUGGUUUUAGGGGAGACUUUAGGAGGACGGAAGGGAGACCUGGAGGAAAGCAGAGGCCUGAGGCAGGGAAGGAGUGUAGCCACAGCCAGGUGGAUGUGACGUAGAGGACAAUUUCCUGGCCCCUUCCCAUUGGUUGGUGAUUGGAUGGUGACAAGUGCACGUUGGGCACCCCCAGUUUGCCCACCACUGUGAUGCCUAGGCUUGGGUGAACAAGAGGAGCGUUUGGCCCAGGGGUUUGGCCUUGAGAAUCGGGCAUCUUGGCUGAUGCUUGAGACAAUCUGAAAACCCGUAGGCACUAAGCUGUGUGGUUGUGGUCCCCCGCAGUAGGGACCCGGAGCAGGGAGCUGGAGUCGUGGCAGGAACCUUCCCCGCGGAGAUGAUUGAAGGUUGGCGGGGCCCUUUCUCACUAUCCUUGGUGUUGGCUCUGCUCACAGGCUGAUGCCGAAAGGGCUCUUGCAGUGUGGGCCACCACAAGCAGAUAAAGCAUCUUAUAGCAAGAGGAGUGAAUGAUAUCUUAUAUAGUAUAUAUAUUUCUCUUCCUUAGCCCCUUAGGAGUGAGUGAGAGCCUUCCCCAGCAGCCGCUCCCCAUCCCAGCAGCUUCUUUUCAAUGUCAAUUGAGAAUUGGGUUAAAAUCUCCAACUAUGUGCCCAUGAGAUGUGUUAGUCAGCUAUUGGUGCAUAACAAAUAACCCACAGACUAGAAGUUUUAAACAACAGCUCUCCCUUAUCUUUCAGGUUCUGUGGGUCAGGAAUUCAGGGACAACUUUGCUGGGGGAUUCUGGCUUGGAGUCUUGGGAGGUUGCAGGGGGCCGUGGUCUAAAGCUGGGCUAGAGGAGCUGCCUUCAAGAUGGCUCACUUCUGUGCUGUUGGUGGGAGGCCUGUGCCUUCAUAUUGAAUGUCCUCACGUGGCAGCUGGCUUACGCCAGAGUGAGCAUCCAAGAGAGAGAAGGGAGCCCCCAUGCCUGAGCUGAUGCCAUCUCAGAAACCGCAGAGGGUCACCUCUGUCACAGUCCGUUUGUUAGAGGUGAAUCACCAAGUACACGGCAAAGAUUCGACUCCACCUUUUGAAGGUGGAGGUGUAAAAAAAAAUGUGGACUUAUUUUAACCACCCUAGGGGUUUGUCUUAGGAGAAUGUUCUAGUGGUCAAGGUUGGAGCCCAUGUUGGGAGCCGAGCCUGAGAACCUUCGUGGAGUCCUACUGUGUGCAUCUCAUUGUGUAGGCAGCAGUCAUACAUGCCCGGGGAUCAUGGGGUACAGGAAGUGUGAGAUGUUUGGGGACUAGGUCACCGUAUAGAGAACUAAGGGGGAGGCUCAGUGCUGGGCAGAGUGCGGAUACAGGAGGAAGGAUUGCUUCAAAUUAGCACGUUCAUGGAGGGACCUCACCAAGGACCUGCCACGAACCGGGCUCCACAGGAUGGACGGGUUUACCCAUUCAGGGAUGGGAGCUGGAGUUGGGGAAAAUCUGAUCAUACUACAGGUGUUCAUCAGGCAUUUAUGGAGCACCUGCUGUGUGCUAGACACUGCACAUAUAUUAUCUUUAAUCUUCAUGAGAAUUUCCAGGAGGUGAGCACUAUGUCCCCAUUUUUGCAGAUGAAGAAACAAGCCCAAAGACGUGGUGACCCCUCUGAGACGGAGAGGCCCUCACCUAAGAGACAUGUUCAUUUCACAGAACCUGGAGACAGCUCUUGCCUUAGGAGCUUGCUGGCUUCUUCAAAGCAGGGCUUUUAUAUAACCAUCAGCUUCAGGGAGCAGGCAGCAGAGUGACGAAUCUCUUUACAGACGCCUUGUCAUUUUAUUGAAAAUUUUACAGAAGAGGCUCCUUCAUUGUCAAGUCCACACCCCACCCGAUACUUUGAAAAUAUGAUUCCAAAUGUUUUAAGAGUCACUUUGCACACCUCUCCCCUGGAACUGGCACUCUGUGCACUCCUGUGGGCUGCUUCCCCAAGUUGAUGCCCCCCGCCUCAUGUGUGGACAUGAUUGCGUUCACGUCCACAGCUGCUGUGGCAGAGCCAUCCCGGGCUCAGCACGUGAGACAUAAAGCCCAAGAGGUUUUCCUUUUCGUUCUUGGUGACAGGGUACAAAUGUCUCCCUUGCUUCUCCCUCCAGAACGUGGACACCUUAACAGCAACAACUGUAUCUCCGCAGCCUUAAGUGGCCUCUGAGAUCGCAGAUGUCAGUAACUAUUUGCUGAGUUAAUAGAUGGUCUCCAUUUAAAUGACUCUUGACCAGAGAGCAGAAAUUCGGCCAAGACACAGGGAGGGAGCUUGAAAAGAAGGGACGAUGGCGGGGGUGGGGGUUUCACACUCGUCAAUACGUAAAAACAAAAUAAAAACUCUUGGGCCCAAGACAGAAUAGACGGCAUCAAGAACAAAAUCUUUCCAUCUGAAAAUGCCUGGCUCUUGCGUUUGGGUCCUUUUUGGGUGCGUGGAUUUGCAGGUGACAGGAGGAAGUGCAGGCAGGUACCCAAACGAGUACCCCGUGGACCCUCCCUGAUCCCUGCACAGCCAGCCGGAGAGCAGCAGCCGACCACCUCUGGGGGAGAGGCACCUCCGUCCUGUCAUCAUCUCGAGCACAGAGGGGACAGGAACGAGCGCGGGUCUAUUAUAUUUUUUGCCAGAACCGACAGUAGCAUUGGUGAUGGGAGAAAUGUCACGGUGUAACAUUUAAAGAUUAAAAACAAAAAUCCACCGAGAGCAGGAGGCUGCCUUGGGAAGUGUCUGGAGAGGAUUCCUUCCUGUUCACGGGCAGCCCAGCCUGCACCCUGCCUGUGCCCUGUCUCCAAGGCCCGGGUCCAUUUCCUGGAUACUCCACGAGCUUCUGCUUUAACUGGCCACAUCAUCAAACAAUGAGAACCCCGCAUGAAUGAGGCAGGGCGCCUGGGAAUCGCAGAUGAGGUGAGACCUACGCCUCAUCCCCCAAAUAAACGCGGGGCAUUGACUUU